CGCCCCUCUGCCAAUUCCCCAUGCAAAGGGAAGCCAGGGGAGAGCGCGGAGUCCCCUAUCAGCGUUCGGAGGAACUGGCCUGGAGGGGCCACGGAGCGCAAAGGCCCCGCGAAAUAGAAUAUCCGUACGCCCAGCAACCCUCUCUUUCGAGGCGCACGGGAUAACUUGGCUGGAACUCUCCGCUGACCGCUCCGCCUGGGACUCAGGGCUGCAGCCGCACAGAGCUUCCUCCAGGGCGCCCGGGGCGGCGCGAGCAGGAGGGGGACCCGGUGUGGCCGUGCCCGGGACCUCGGGGGACCAGGUGAGCCCGCGCCCGGGUCCCAGUGGGAUCCAGAUGAGCGUACGCCCAAGUCCGCGGGGGACCAGCUUCCUCAUCGGGAUGCACAGCAAGUCGGAUUCCCCAAGCAGAAGCUGGGCAGCCCAGCUGGAAGAGGAGGCCGGGCAGGUGUUGCAGGUCAGGCUCACUAUGACACAGUGUGAGACCUCGGGCUACAACACAGGACCCGGGUGCUGCUCUGACCCCUCGUGUCUUGUGUUGCAGCCGGAGGGACGCAGGUCCGCAGCAGAGCCUGUUCCACUGUCCUGAGGGACUCAACACAGGGGACUGCACAGAGACCAUGGGAAAGACCAGACUCUGGUGGGCAGGUGGGUGGGGUGUUGGGAGAGAGGCCAACCCAGACCACCCCAGAUGUCACCCACUCAGCCCCGUCUCUUGUCCUAGUUUUGCCUCUCCGGACGCAGCUUGGCUCACCUCUGGCCCAGUGCAGGUAGCUGGUGCCAGUUGCAGGGUGACACAGCCUACUUUGGGUCUGUCUGGGCUUUGAGGAUGCCUUCUGCUCCUCACCUCCAGGCCCCAGGCCAGGUGACUGAGACUCCACAGUGGGACUGGGAGGGUAGCAAGGAAGGCAGCUUCUCCCCAAACGUCUCUCUCAUUGAUGAGAAACCCACCACUGGGCUCCGAAUAAGAAAAGUGUUGCAUUUUUAGGAGUUGUCUAUUAAAAUGUGAAUAUUUUCUGCGAGGUGGGAGAUUAAACCACUGUAGGCAUUAGCUGGUUUCAUUGAAGACAUUACUGCCAACAUGACAGAGACUCCAGAAGGAAAUGAAAUCAGAUCAUGAACUCCCAAUAGGGAAGAAGCCCCAAAACAGACCCCUAAAACUGGAGGUGAGAGGUGUCAAAAGCAAGGUUCCUUCAUCUGUGCAGGCUGUCACAGCCCUGGGUUGGAGUUUGGAUGCAGGGGCCGCUGAGUGACCCUGCCUUCACAGCUGAGGACUAUGGGUCCAAUUUCUCCAAAGAGCCUGCCCUCGGGGCAGCAUCCUUCAGUCAGAUCCAGAUGAGCCCCUGGCCCCCAGGACUACCUGCGUGUCACUUUCCACACCAACCCUGUGUCCUAGAUAGAAAGCAUCCAUUUAUUCCCUUACUUUUCACCAGCCUCAUAGUGUUCACAGUGUCUCCUCUUUUACAAGAAAUAAACUAGUUUUAAAAUGUAAUUGGUUCAGUGUUUUUCCUUCUCUUGAAUGAUCUGGAGGGAACUAACAUAAAAUGAUAGGCUGCAUUUAAGUGGAAACUGAGGGGAAAGUCAGGAAGUUGAGAGGAUCGAGAUACAGGGAAGGCUCUGGGUCAUGCGUCACCAUCAUAGCCCGGACAACCCAGCAGGUUCCAUUACAGAACAGAUCAGGUUAAGGCAGCCACACUGCUUUCUGUGUGGGAAACCUGGAAACUCUUUUUGUGGUGUCCAUCUUGGUAAAGACUGGCAGGAGCCAAACCAGACUGGGACAAAUGCAGAGCUGUAACUCAGACAAAACUUGCAAAAGUAAAUAAGCAUGAACUAGAUAUGAAUCACUAUGGAGGCAAGCCAUGUUGUAGGAUUUUUAUUAUUAUGUUUUCGUAGAAAAGUUACUACUUGCUUUUCCCAAAGCCACUAGGUGGGGCUAAGAAGAGCCUCAAGGUGGGGACCCUCACACUGGUCCAGGGCAGGUGGGUGAGGAGUGGGCACUCCUGGGAGCCGCUCACCAGGAGGAGUUGGAACUGAGCUAGAUGAGGAGAGGCAUCUGUGUGGCACAGGGCAUUGUCAGGAAAAUUGGUUACAUAGGGUAAUCAAAUAAGCAAAUAUAUUCAGGAAAAUAGAACCAGUAUAUCUCUGUCAAAGGAGGGAGUUUUCUAAUAUGUAAAGGGAAGCCACCAGAAUAAACUGUAGUGUUGGAGUAAGGUUGGAGGUAUUAGUGUAAACAUAUUGUUUUUAAUAGAGAUAGAUAUAGAAAACAUACACACACACACACCAUUCCCUAACUCUGCACUGGGAGGGGCCUGGGAGCUGUGGCAUCCCAAUAAAUCUGAACACCUUGUGCCAGAUUUUGGUUUCUAAGUAUCAUUUUCCACUGAAAGGGCCCAGAACUUUUUGGAGAAAUGUCUGAUUCCAGGGCUGGGGCAGGAGAGAUACAAAAGGAACCUGAAACAUCUUAUAAAAGAAAGUAAGAAAUCUCUUUAGAAAAUGCUGAAGGUUUGUCCAAAGGACAAGAAAUUAGAUGAAGAGGCCCCCACUGGUCAUAUUUGGGAUUACUUAAUCAUCAAAAUACAUAUGGCCACCUGUAAUCCCAGCACUUUGGGAGGCCAAGGUGGGUGGAUCACCUGAGGUCAGGAGUUCAAGAGAAGCCUGGCCAAUAUGGCAAAACCCUGUCUCUACCCAAAAUACAAAAAUUAGCCAGCCAUGGUUACAGGUGCCUGUAAUCCCAGCUACUCAUGAGGCUGAGGCAGGAACCAGGGAGGCAGAGGUUGCAGUGAGCAGAAAUUACGCCACUACAUUCCAGCCUGGGCGACAGAGUGAACCUCCAUCUCAAAAAACGAAAACAAAACAAAACAAAUCCAUAUUACUAGCGACAGAUUAUAAUUGUUAUAAGACAAAGUAGGAAACCAUGAACACAUGCUGACAUUUAAAAAUGAAUAAGUCAAAAGUUUGGUGAGCAACAGGGUAUUUAUGUAAUCUCAAAGUACAUCCCCACUGAUUCCAAAGGCAAGAAAGUGACUUUACUGUGGAAAAGGCUGACAGUUGUGUCCCAUUAAUUUGUUCUCUCUUUAAUUUAGUCAUUUUGAGAAUGUUAUAUACAUGGAAUAAUACAGUACAUAAUCUUUUAAAGUUAGGCUUCUUCCACUUGAAAUAAUGUCCCUGAGACCAGUAUAAUAUGCAUCAUGUAUCAGUUGCUUGCUCCUUUUUAUUGCUGAAUAGUAUUCCGUUGUAGGGAUGUACCACUGUUUAUACAUGUACUCGUUUAGAACAUUUGGGCUGUUUGUAUAUUUUGGCUACUAUGAAUAAAGCUGCUAUGAAUACUCAGGUACAAGUUUUAGUUUCUCUGGGAUAAAUGCCCAGGAGUGCAAGUUUUGGGUCAAAUGUAAGUGUAUGUUAAUUGUAUAAGUAAUUGCCAAACUAUUUUCUAGAGUGAUUGUCCCAUUUUACAUUUCCACCAUUAUGUAUGAGAGAUCCAGUUUAUUUACAUUCUCACUAGGUUUUACUAUUAUUAUUUUUUAUUUUAGUCAUUCUAAUAGAUUUGUGAUCAUUAUGGUUUUGUCUUAUUCUAUUUUCUGUUGGUAUAACAGAAUACCAUAGAUGGGGUAAUUUUUAAUGGACAGAAGCUGGGCAUGGUGGCUUAUGGCUGUAAUCCAAGCACUUUGGGAGGUGAAAGUGGGAGAAUUGCUUGAGAUCAGGAGUUCAAGACCAGCCUGGGCUACCUAGUGAGACAUCCACCUCUAAAUUUUUUUUAAAAUUUAAAAUAUACAUAAUAAACAUAAUCUAUUUAGUUCACAAUUCUGGAUGUUGGAAAGUUCAAGAGCACAGUGCCAGCAUCUGAUGAGGGCCUUCUUGCUACAUCAUAACAUGGUGGAAAGUAUCACAUGGCAAGAAAGCAAGAGUGUGCAUGUCAUUCAAGCCUCGUUUCUCAUCUUAUAGAGCCACCAGUCCCAUCAUGGAGGACCUAUCCUGAUGAUUCUAUAGAAUCCUUAUUACUGCCCAAAUGCCCCACAUCCAAUCAAUGUAUUAAACUGGGGAUUAAGUUUCCAACAACACAUGAAAUGUGGAAGACAAAUGCAAACCAUAGUGUG
Macaca mulatta (Rhesus monkey) is the source of this 4091-nucleotide long non-coding RNA. The record is from Ensembl. NCBI's taxonomy places the organism in Eukaryota, Metazoa, Chordata, Mammalia, Primates, Cercopithecidae.